CUCGUAGGCGGGGGCGUGCGUCCGGGAAGAAAUCUCAAGGCUCAACCUUGGGGCUAUCUCGGAUACGGCGCUUCUUGAGGGUGAGAGAGGAAAGUAGAAUUCCCGGUGUAGCGGUGAAAUGCGUAGAUAUCGGGGGGAAUACCAGCGGCGAAGGCGACUUUCUGGCUCAUUCCUGACGCUGAGGAGCGAAAGCGUGGGUAGCGAAG
Molecule: ribosomal RNA, 206 nt
Filed under: uncultured bacterium
Lineage: Bacteria
Description: partial 16S ribosomal RNA
Rfam family: Bacterial small subunit ribosomal RNA
Source: RNAcentral